UGCAACUCUGAUCGAACAGGAGAUUCAGCGAGCAGUAGAUUUUGUCUGAGUGUGUGCAUGCACGUGUGUGUGCGCACAUGUGUGUGCAUGAAGUCAGAGUACAAAAAUCACAGAAAUGCAAUGCUGGCAUACAGUGAGAGCUGUUGGAAAUGUUUCAUGUUUAAAGACAAAAGCUGAUGUGUUCCCGAUGAAAAUUUUCUUGGCUCUGCAAUUAUUUCACCCAAGGUGCGCCUUUCUGUGUGCAUCUGGAAAGAGUUUUAUCGACAAGCCUAAAAUAAGUGAUUUCUCAGAGCACAGACAUGCUCUUUCUAAGAACACAGAUAUCUCUUAAGAAAAUCUGCACCAAGAUGUUCAAAAAGCAUUGCUGCACGUGGGAAGUUGCAUUUCACAAGCCUCUCACGACACUGCCUCUGUUAUGCAUGCCAAUAAAACCAGGGCAUAGGCCCUCGGAGAUUUACUGAAGAGGCUAUGUCAAGAAUGGGGAGUCACACAGAAUUCACAAGACACAAAGGCGCUGGGGAAGUGAAGCCCAUAACAGGAGAGCUGGACGGAGAUGGGAUUCAGCUGCUGCAUGAGGAAGCAACUUGGGGAAGUGACAAUUUUGUCUGUUUUUCUGCCAGGAAGACAGGGGAGGAGUCUACUCUGUACAGUCUGAAUAGAACUGGAAAGGACUGCAAUCACUCACUGGAAGAUUGAUGUGACUAUUGCAAAUCUGUGUACAGCGUCCUUUUCCCCCCUGCUAUGUCCAGCACCAGUUUCAGAAAUGUCAUAUCCUAAGUUGUUCAGUAAGUAGCUGCAGUAUUUAUCACACCUGGAGAGGACAAACACCACUGAAGAUUUGCAGCAUUGCAUCUAUUCUGUUCUCUGUGAUUCUACUAAAUCCAGCUUAGGUAAUCCUAAUGUAUACCCAUUUAAUUACAGUAAAAGCAAUUCAAUUUCUGACAUCUAAAUUAACCUAGCGCAUGUUGAAACCUACUAGAAAUGGUGACAAGACCUUGUGUGAAAUCAGGUUCAUGCAUGAUACUUUUUCUUAAAAAAAACAUGUAUUAUACACUUGUUACACUAGAACUUGAGGUGAGGAUCACAUAGAGAUCCCGGUAACCACCACCAGAUCAACCACACAGUAUCAGCCUAAAAAAGCUUAAAAUCUCGGUCACCUUUCUGAUAUAAAAAUAAAUCAAUACAAAAAUUUUCCUGCUAGCCAGUUAGGUUAGGGUCUUUUUCUGUACGAAACACAUGUUGAUAUUUGAUUACUCCCUUUAAUAGUGUCCAUCUGUGGAAAAGGCUGCAGUGCCAAUACAUAUGCAUGAAAGCAAUAAUCUUAUUUUCAAUACCAAGGAUUGUUUUAUCUGCUUCAUCUUUAAUAUUCCACUGAUGAGAACAGGUUGUGCAUAUGGUUCUGCAGCAGCUUGUUUGCAGUCCAUUUCAUUGUGAACACCUCCCUUUUCACACCUUCCCUUCCCCACCUGAGCUGAUUCUUUAUACAAUGCAGCAACAUUAGCUUUUAUAUAGUGUUCAUCAUCUGGCCCAAGCCUAAACCUCCUCGUGGGCAGGAUAUUAAAUCAUAAACAGCUCAGGACUAGUUCUGAUAAUGAAGGUUAAAUAUUCUACCAAAUGCAACAGAAAAGAAAAAAAAAAGAAGAGUCUCUUCUCUUACCUAAGUGUGGUCAUAGCUCACUUGAACAAUAACCACGUGUGAAUCAGGGUUAUGGUGAGGCUGUAAACAUGGUCCCCUGGAGACAGUUACCAAACCUGUCUUGUGGAGAAGCAUCUGAGGUGUAAUAUACACUGGGAAAAGUGAAAUUAAACACAUGUAUGAAACACA
Long non-coding RNA from Falco peregrinus (peregrine falcon), 1825 nucleotides. RefSeq lists it as uncharacterized. The record is from RefSeq and is a predicted model, not a curated record. Lineage: Eukaryota; Metazoa; Chordata; Aves; Falconiformes; Falconidae. The transcript has 3 exons.